This 465-nucleotide ribosomal RNA is filed under the name Vreelandella stevensii. RNAcentral's name for it is "partial 16S ribosomal RNA". It matches the Rfam family "Bacterial small subunit ribosomal RNA", at positions 338 to 795 of the family's 1533-position model. Lineage: Bacteria; Pseudomonadati; Pseudomonadota; Gammaproteobacteria; Oceanospirillales; Halomonadaceae. The record is from RNAcentral.
CCUACGGGGGGCAGCAGUGGGGAAUAUUGGACAAUGGGGGCAACCCUGAUCCAGCCAUGCCGCGUAUGUGAAGAAGGCCCUCGGGUUGUAAAGCACUUUCAGUGAGGAAGAACGCCUGGUGGUUAAUACCCAUCAGGAAAGACAUCACUCACAGAAGAAGCACCGGCUAACUCCGUGCCAGCAGCCGCGGUAAUACGGAGGGUGCGAGCGUUAAUCGGAAUUACUGGGCGUAAAGCGCGCGUAGGUGGCUUGAUAAGCCGGUUGUGAAAGCCCCGGGCUCAACCUGGGAACGGCAUCCGGAACUGUCAAGCUAGAGUGCAGGAGAGGAAGGUAGAAUUCCCGGUGUAGCGGUGAAAUGCGUAGAGAUCGGGAGGAAUACCAGUGGCGAAGGCGGCCUUCUGGACUGACACUGACACUGAGGUGCGAAAGCGUGGGUAGCAAACAGGAUUAGAUACCCUAGUAGUC